AUCCAGAUGACGAGUCUUAAAUAGGACAAAAUGUGCAUCCUGAAU
RNAcentral lists this non-coding RNA (45 nucleotides) under Trichobilharzia regenti. Lineage: Eukaryota; Metazoa; Platyhelminthes; Trematoda; Strigeidida; Schistosomatidae. The record is from RNAcentral.